UCUGACCUCAAAUCAGGUAGGAUUACCCGCUGAACUUAAGCAUAUCAAUAAGCGGAGAAAAGAAACUAACAAGGAUUCCCUUA
This 83-nucleotide ribosomal RNA is filed under the name Amanita sp. 'semiobruta'. Its description in RNAcentral is "partial 28S ribosomal RNA". It matches the Rfam family "Eukaryotic large subunit ribosomal RNA", at positions 1 to 82 of the family's 3401-position model. Lineage: Eukaryota; Fungi; Basidiomycota; Agaricomycetes; Agaricales; Amanitaceae. The record is from RNAcentral.